Molecule: ribosomal RNA, 398 nt
Filed under: uncultured bacterium
Lineage: Bacteria
Description: bacterial SSU rRNA
Rfam family: Bacterial small subunit ribosomal RNA
Source: RNAcentral
AUUGAACGCUGGCGGCAUGCUUUACACAUGCAAGUCGAACGGUAACAGGCCUUCGGGUGCUGACGAGUGGCGAACGGGUGAGUAAUGCAUCGGAACGUGCCCAAUCGUGGGGGAUAACGUAGCGAAAGUUACGCUAAUACCGCAUAAGCCCUGAGGGGGAAAGUGGGGGACCGCAAGGCCUCACGCGAAUGGAGCGGCCGAUGUCAGAUUAGCUAGUUGGUGGGGUAAAGGCCCACCAAGGCGACGAUCUGUAGCGGGUCUGAGAGGAUGAUCCGCCACACUGGGACUGAGACACGGCCCAGACUCCUACGGGAGGCAGCAGUGGGGAAUUUUGGACAAUGGGCGCAAGCCUGAUCCAGCCAUGCCGCGUGGGUGAAGAAGGCCUCGGUUGUAAGUAC